GACGAACGCUGGCGGCGUGCUUAACCCAUGCAAGUCGAACGGAAAGGCCCUGCUUUUGUGGGGUGCUCGAGUGGCGAACGGGUGAGUAACACGUGAGUAACCUGCCCUUGACUUUGGGAUAACUUCAGGAAACUGGGGCUAAUACCGGAUAGGAGCUCCUGCUGCAUGGUGGGGGUUGGAAAGUUUCGGCGGUUGGGGGUGGACUCGCGGCUUAUCAGCUUGUUGGUGGGGUAGUGGCUUACCAAGGCUUUGACGGGUAGCCGGCCUGAGAGGGUGACCGGCCACAUUGGGACUGAGAUACGGCCCAGACUCCUACGGGAGGCAGCAGUGGGGAAUAUUGCACAAUGGGCGGAAGCCUGAUGCAGCAACGCCGCGUGCGGGAUGACGGCCUUCGGGUUGUAAACCGCUUUCGCCUGUGACGAAGCGUGAGUGACGGUAAUGGGUAAAGAAGCACCGGCUAACUACGUG
This 468-nucleotide ribosomal RNA is filed under the name uncultured bacterium. Its description in RNAcentral is "partial 16S ribosomal RNA". It matches the Rfam family "Bacterial small subunit ribosomal RNA", at positions 28 to 507 of the family's 1533-position model. The record is from RNAcentral.